GACGAACGCUGGCGGCGUGCUUAACACAUGCAAGUCGAACGGAAAGGCCCUGCUUUUGUGGGGUGCUCGAGUGGCGAACGGGUGAGUAACACGUGAGUAACCUGCCCUUGACUUUGGGAUAACUUCAGGAAACUGGGGCUAAUACCGGAUAGGAGCUCCUGCUGCAUGGUUGGGGUUGGAAAGUUUCGGCGGUUGGGGAUGGACUCGCGGCUUGUCAGCUUGUUGGUGGGGUAGUGGCUUACCAAGGCUUUGAAGGGUAGCCGGCCUGAGAGGGUGACCGGCCACAUGGGGACUGAGAUACGGCCCAGACUCAUACGGGAGGCAGCAGUGGGGAAUAUUGAACAAUGGGCGGAAGCCUGAUGCAGCAACGCCGCGUGCGGGAUGACGGCCUUCGGGUGGUAAACCGCUUUCGCCUGUGACGAAGCGUGAGUGACGGUAAUGGGUAAAGAAGCACCGGCUAACUACGU
Molecule: ribosomal RNA, 467 nt
Filed under: uncultured bacterium
Lineage: Bacteria
Description: partial 16S ribosomal RNA
Rfam family: Bacterial small subunit ribosomal RNA
Source: RNAcentral